This is a long non-coding RNA of Pan troglodytes (chimpanzee), 3668 nucleotides long. RefSeq lists it as uncharacterized. The record is from RefSeq and is a predicted model, not a curated record. The transcript has 5 exons. Lineage: Eukaryota; Metazoa; Chordata; Mammalia; Primates; Hominidae.
AAUAAGGCCUCCUUCUGAGGCCACCUUCGAACACUUGAAGCCUGUUUUCUGAACCAUAUUGAGUACUUUCUUUGCUUCACCAGGACAGCCUUAACCCCUAAAAGGAAACAGCAAAAGGCUAAGGCAGGAAUUUCUAAUCGUGACCCUGAGACCAGACUGGAGCUGCUUACAGAACACCCUCUGUGUCAGAGAAUCAGAGACGUUUGCUUGCGAUUGUUCCUAGGUGCCAAGCUCAGAGGUGCCAAGCUCACAGGUGCCCUAGUGCACACCAUGUCAAGCUCAAAAGGAGGAAGACCCUGGUCGGAGGCCUCCCGGCGGACCACGUGUCCCACUUGAGCCAGUUCCAGGAGGGAGGAAGCUCCUAAGAGAAGCUGUUUUUCAGGCACCUUCAAAUGACUGAUUUUUUUUCCGAUGCUUUUCGUAAAUAAUAGAUCAAAGCCUCUGUUUCUGCCAGAAGCCUCCCACCCCUGUGAAUGCUGAAAGAGCAGAUCCACCAAACUCCCCUGGGGCUCUGAAAUGAUCACUCUGCAGGCCUAGUCCCUUUGCAGAAGAGCUGCUUCCUCUCUCAUCAGAAAAGCAAUAGUGGUGUGUCGGGGAGGCCCCCGUGCAGUGUGCAGAUGGGGGAGCCAUUGGCAAGGGCCACCCUUACCAGGGCCUUCUGAGAGCUCUGUGCAUGGCCCUUCUCCCACCUGGGCAAGGCGGUUUGCUGCUCUGGGCUUCCUGUUUCUAUUUCUGCUCCCCAAGUUUCAAGUUCUUUAUUUUUUCCCAGGACUCUGGGCUUUCCUUGUCUUAAGAGGAAAGAAAGGGCGAGGCUCUUUGAAUAUUUUCUGCAUAUUAUACUCCACCCUGGUUUCCAGACUUCAGAAGAAAAAAAGAGCUCUUGGAAAGGGGAAGCCCUCUGGCCUUGUUUUCAACAGGCCGGCUUCACUUCCCCUGCAACUUCUUAGUGAAUCCUUGUUAUAAAGCAAACCAUUCAGGGGCAUGUGUUUCCCAUAGGAAUACGAUUACAAUUGCAGUUGGCUCACCUGACUAUGCUUUUUCCAUUAAAAAAUCAUAGCCAGGACUAAUAAUAGGACAAUAGAAAAAGUUACAAAAAUCAUAAAUCUUCAGGAGGAUUUAAAAUAAUAGGGCAUGGUCCAAGUCCUGUAAAAAUAGUUAUUUGUGAACUGUGUGUAUUCCUUAUAAAUCAAGUGCCCAAAAAGUAAAUCUAUUAAAUUAGAAACUUAACCUAAUGAGCUGGUGUUACUAGAAAGGGAUCCCAAUUCACAUGCCAAGAGAGGAUUCUUGGACCACACAAGAAAGAAUUUGGGCAGGGUCUUUGUGACCUGUAUCUUGAGCUGACCUCCUAUCUCAUCCUGUGACUAAGAAUGCCUGACCUCCUUGGAAUGCAGCCCAGCAGGUCUUAGCCCCAUUUCAACCAGCCCCUUUUCAAGAUGGAGUCACUCUGGUUCAAAUGCCUCUGACACUAGCAAGAACAAAUUUCAAUGAAGCAUUGAGUCAAUGGCAGUUUAUCAUUCCUUGUAACAUUCAAGUAGAUAAUUUUGGAAGUGGAUGCUUUAGUCUACUCUGUUUACUCAAAACAUACUUUCUGGGAAGUUCAAACUGAUAUACUUUUGUCUCAAUAAAUUCUCUUGUGGGGCAAAUCCACCUGAAAUGAUUGCCUUGUCCUUUGAGUUCCAAUUUUGAAAACUUCUCAAAACAUAUCAUUGCUGUAUGGAGAUACUUGAAUUCCUCAACACGGGCCCCAUUUUGAUCUUUUCUUCGUUCCAUCGAGGAAAUCUUAAAGACACAUAAGCUCAGUGUGGCACUCCAGCUUCGUUUAUCACCAAGAGCUCAGCGUGGCUGUGGCUGUCAACUCAAGGAUACUUAAAGCCUUAGAAGUCAGUCUCGACUCAAGGAUGCAACUUCCUUCCUGUAACUCCAGCCCUGCUCUGUGUUUUAUGGACCAGGUCUCUUGGCACCAGGUGCUUAUUGAAAAUGCAGACUCCAGAACCCACUCCAGGACUCCCGAAUCACAGAAUUUUCACAAGCUCCCUAGCUCCUUUUCACCCGCCCAUUCCCAUCCAGCAUGGGAGUGGAGCCAGGCAGAGAAGACCUCUGCUGCUUCCUCUCCUGUGCCCCGUAGACGAGCUCCUUGUGCCUGCUUAGGGCCCACACUGUCCUCUUCGCUGGGUUUCCUGCCUCGCUCAACCUGAACAUUUUAGUCAUCCUCAGGAGGUAACUUGACCCUCACCCUGCUCUAGUUCUCAUCCGCCCGUUAGACCUGAGGCAGGCACGUUUUCUUCUACUCUUUAUACCCCGAGUUCUUUGCUAACUGAGCACACAGGACAUGGAUGCUGGUUGAGGAAGGAGUGGGAUGUCAUCACAGACCCCGGACAGGAGGGAUAUUUCCACCAGGGUGCAGUAUUUCACACUGAUUCAUGGAUAUGAGUGGGUUGCUUUAUAAAUUCCUCCAUUAGCUCAACUAUUUCCAAAGGAAAAAGUGAAAACAGAUCUGGAAGAUGUUAUAACAUCGUCUAAUAACUGGGGUGGGAAAAUGGCAUGGAAAUUUAGAUAUUAACAUGGAUUUGUAUUCUUUUCUCCUAUAAACUCUAAGACUGCAUUGGAGACAAUAAGCCAUUUCUGUGUUAAGGAUUGUAAAACACUACAUGGCAUCUCAUUGGCUUUCAUCAUGUCUGUACUUAAAACAAAACUAUUGGCCGGGCACGGUGGCUCAUGCCUGUAAUCCCAGAACUUUGGGAAGCUGAGGCGGGUGGAUCACUUGAGGUCAGGAGUUCAAGACCAGCCUGGCCAACAUGGUGAAACCUCAUCUCUACCAAAACUAUAAAAAUUAGCUAGGCGUGGUGGUGGGCAACUGUAAUUCCAGCUACUCAGGAUGCCGAGGCAGGAGAAUUGCUUGAACCCAGGAGGUGGAGCUUGCAGCGAGCCCAGAUCACGCCACUGCACUCCAGCCUGGGUGACAAGAGUGAGACUCCAUCCCCCCCACCAAAAAAAGAAAAAAAAACUAUUUAUCAAAACUACCUCUGAUGAAACUUUUCUUGUAAUUCAAAACUUGAACAUCAGAUGUUCCCUGCGUCUUUAGUAAGGAGUGGAAUCAUUGCCGAGAAGAUGCAAACAGGAUCAGAAACAAGCGGAAUCUGUCAGGAUGCUCAGCAGCAGGUGUGGGAGGCAUGAGGGGCACUGCACCUGUAUCUUCACUCCUCACCCGGCUUCAGAGUUGACGUCAAGCUCUGAAAAAGGGAGCUCCAUCUGUGAUAUCCACCAAGUCCAACCAUCAGCAAAGCCUAAAUGUGUGCCACUGCUCCUCCUCCUUGUUCUCAGACCUCCUCAUUUCCUAACAGCUCCUCCUCUCCUGCCUCUCCUCCAGCCACAAUGGACUCCUCGCUGGCCAUGGGCAUGCCGGGGGCUCCAGCUCUCUGGGCUGCUUGUCCCUCAGUGAUCUGGAAGUCUGAUCUCCUCACUGCUGUGGAUUGAAUUGUGUCUCAGUAAAGAUGGGUUAAAGUCCUGGCUCCCCUGCCUGUGAAUGAGAGCUUAUAUAGAAAUAGAGUCUUUGCAGAUGUCAUCAAAUUAAGAUGAGGCCAUUAGGGUAGGACCUAACCCAAGAGGAUCGGUGUCCCUCAGAAGAGGAGAAGACAGAGACACACAGGGAAGAUGCUGCAUGGAGACAG